This 253-nucleotide ribosomal RNA is filed under the name uncultured bacterium. RNAcentral describes it as "partial 16S ribosomal RNA". It matches the Rfam family "Bacterial small subunit ribosomal RNA", at positions 524 to 776 of the family's 1533-position model. The record is from RNAcentral.
UACGUAGGGUGCAAGCGUUGUCCGGAAUUAUUGGGCGUAAAGAGCUCGUAGGCGGUUUGUCGCGUCUGCUGUGAAAACCCGGGGCUUAACUUCGGGCUUGCGGUUGAUACGGGCGGGCUGGAGUUCGGUAGGGGAGACUGGAAUUCCUGGUGUAGCGGUGAAAUGCGCAGAUAUCAGGAGGAACACCGGUGGCGAAGGCGGGUCUCUGGGCCGAUACUGACGCUGAGGAGCGAAAGCGUGGGGAGCGAACAGG